GAUCAUGGCUCAGAACGAACGCUGGCGGCGCGUCUUAAGCAUGCAAGUCGAACGGCAAGAGGUAGCAAUACCUCCUAGAGUGGCGGGACUGGUGAGUAACACGUGGGUGACAUACCCUUCAGAUGGGGGUAGCUAUUAGAAAUAGUAGAUAAUACCGAAUACGAGCACAGGGGUUAGAGAUCUGUGAGGAAAGGAGCUAAGGCUCCGCUGAAGGAAUGGCCUGCGGCCCAUUAGCUAGUUGGUGAGGUAAGAGCCCACCAAGGCGAUGAUGGGUAUCCGGCCUUAGAGGGUGAACGGACACAUUGGGACUGAGAUACGGCCCAGACUCCUACGGGAGGCAGCAGCUAAGAAUAUUCCGCAAUGGACGAAAGUCUGACGGAGCGACGCCGCGUGGAUGAAGAAGGCCGGAAGGUUGUAAAAUCCUUUUGAAACUGAAGAAUAAGCGUUGUAGGGAAUGACAGCGUGGUGACAGUAGGUUUUGAAUAAGCAACGGCUAAUUACGUGCCAGCCGCUGC
RNAcentral lists this ribosomal RNA (515 nucleotides) under uncultured bacterium. Its description in RNAcentral is "bacterial SSU rRNA". It matches the Rfam family "Bacterial small subunit ribosomal RNA", at positions 15 to 518 of the family's 1533-position model. The record is from RNAcentral.